Long non-coding RNA from Mercenaria mercenaria, 729 nucleotides. RefSeq lists it as uncharacterized. NCBI's taxonomy places the organism in Eukaryota, Metazoa, Mollusca, Bivalvia, Venerida, Veneridae. The record is from RefSeq and is a predicted model, not a curated record. The transcript has 4 exons.
CAAGGGUUGCUAAUAAAUGAAUUUUGGAAAAAAAAUGAUAUGAUUUGUCUGGCCUUUCUCGCGUAUAAGAGUGGCCUCCCUUGAAGCCAGGUGCUCGUUGCCAGGCAAUAUUAUAGGUGGCACCGCUGUCAACAUGUGCAUGUGAAAACGAAAGUAGAUUGUUUAUCUAGGAAUUAUUACAACAUUUUACCCUUCUACGUUGAGUUUUUAAGGGAGUAUUUCUGUGUGUCUUGAAGCAUUGAAUGCCCCAAAACAACCAGUAUGAUAAGAAAACCAGAGUAUACAGCUUCCCAAAAUUUUGAAAGACUAAGCUGUUUUUCUAUGGACUUGUAUACUAUCUAGGUUGAAAACAGCCAUGGACAAUGAAUUUGGAGGUGCAUGCUGGAGCAUCAGAAAUUACAUACUUGGAAUAAAUAAUUGCACAAUACACAUUUAUUGAGAAGUGACUAAUGUUUAUGUUAAAGUGCAAUAUCCAUGUUUGUAACAUUUUCUUGGGGGUAAUAGUUACAGUGUUGAAAGAGACUACCAGUGUUACAUUUAAGUCUAAGUUACAAUGUGGAUGAUAAUUCUAAGUUCUUGAUAAUCAAGUGUUUUUAAUAAUGUAUGAAUACUAAUUAUUUAUCAAACUGUUUAAUUUAUCACAUUCCUACACCAUUAUUUUAUAAAAAAUGCUUGUAGUUAUAUAAUAUAUGUCAGGUUAAAUGGUAAUAAAUUGUGUUUCUGUGUAAA